UUGAACGCUGGCGGCAUGCCUUACACAUGCAAGUCGAACGGUAACGCGGGGCAACCUGGCGACGAGUGGCGAACGGGUGAGUAAUACAUCGGAACGUGCCCAGUAGUGGGGGAUAGCCCGGCGAAAGCCGGAUUAAUACCGCAUACGACCUACGGGUGAAAGCAGGGGAUCGCAAGACCUUGCGCUAUUGGAGCGGCCGAUGUCAGAUUAGCUAGUUGGUGGGGUAAAAGCCUACCAAGGCGACGAUCUGUAGCUGGUCUGAGAGGACGACCAGCCACACUGGGACUGAGACACGGCCCAGACUCCUACGGGAGGCAGCAGUGGGGAAUUUUGGACAAUGGGGGCAACCCUGAUCCAGCCAUGCCGCGUGCGGGAAGAAGGCCUUCGGGUUGUAAACCGCUUUUGUCAGGGAAGAAACGGUCUGCACUAAUACUGUGGACUAAUGACGGUACCUGAAGAAUAAGCACCGGCUAACUACGU
RNAcentral lists this ribosomal RNA (480 nucleotides) under uncultured bacterium. RNAcentral's name for it is "bacterial SSU rRNA". It matches the Rfam family "Bacterial small subunit ribosomal RNA", at positions 30 to 506 of the family's 1533-position model. The record is from RNAcentral.